CAAUCUUAUCGUCUCUUCCUCAAAUAUUUGUCGGUGACUUUUCCUUUGCACUCUACGGCGUCGAAGAUAUUGUCUUCGCCGAUCGACCUCCCCACUAUCAAGAUCAAUAACUGUACCAUUCAACACAAUACCCUCUUCAACUUCUUCCCUUUCCCCAACCUAGCUAUAUAUACGGUGAGAUUCAAGACCAAAGUUCCUCACAUCGUUAUCCCCAAAAGCACCAGCGUGAUUAAACUCCAAGGCUAAAGCACGACUAUGAUAUCAGAUCAACCAUUGGGAUGAAGUUGUUGUCACAAAUGACCUUCAGAUGGAUGAGGAUGAGGAUGAGGAUGAUAAUGAGGAAGAUGACCAAGAAGUAUAUCACCAAAAUAGAGCAAAUAAAAAUGUCAUCAGCUGGGAUGUUGGGUUAGUGUACGCGGAACCAUGAAGGUUUGUUAAUAUUAGUUU
Molecule: long non-coding RNA, 447 nt
Organism: Brassica oleracea var. oleracea
Lineage: Eukaryota; Viridiplantae; Streptophyta; Magnoliopsida; Brassicales; Brassicaceae
Exons: 3
Source: RefSeq, a predicted model, not a curated record